RNAcentral lists this non-coding RNA (192 nucleotides) under human gut metagenome. RNAcentral's name for it is "raiA RNA". It matches the Rfam family "raiA RNA". The record is from RNAcentral.
CAGGUCUGUGGUUGAAAGUCGAGGCCAGUCGCGGGCAAAACGAUCCACGUAAGCCGGACAAAGUCCGGUGAGCAUGGCGCGGUUUAGAAGUAAGUCCAGCCAGGAACACCUGAGAGAGGGACGCGUGAGGGGAAUGCACCCCAAGCAAAACCUCCAGCUGGCGGGUGUGGGGGCAAAAACCAGGUCAGCUGU